AGCAGCCGCGGUAAUUCCAGCUCCAAUAGCGUAUAUUAAAGUUGUUGCAGUUAAAAAGCUCGUAGUUGAAUUUCGGGGUCAGUAGGUUGGUCAUGCCACUGGUGUGUACUGGUCUCACUGAUUCCUCCUUCCUGAUGAACUGUAAUGCCAUUAAUUUGGUGUUGCAGGGAAUCUGGACUGUUACUUUGAAAAAAUUAGAGUGUUUAAAGCAGGCUAACGCCUGAAUACAUUAGCAUGGAAUAAUGAAAUAGGACGUUCGAUCCUAUUUUGUUGGUUUCUAGGAUUGACGUAAUGAUUAAUAGGGAUAGUUGGGGGCAUUAGUAUUCAAUUGUCAGAGGUGAAAUUCUUGGAUUUAUUGAAGACUAACUACUGCGAAAGCAUUUGCCAAGGAUGUUUUCAUUAAUCAAGAACGAAAGUUAGGGGAGUCGAAGACGAUCAGAUACCGUCGUA
Molecule: ribosomal RNA, 450 nt
Filed under: uncultured Glomeromycotina
Lineage: Eukaryota; Fungi; Glomeromycota
Description: SSU rRNA
Rfam family: Eukaryotic small subunit ribosomal RNA
Source: RNAcentral